Molecule: transfer RNA, 73 nt
Filed under: Desulfonatronospira thiodismutans ASO3-1
Lineage: Bacteria; Pseudomonadati; Thermodesulfobacteriota; Desulfovibrionia; Desulfovibrionales; Desulfonatronovibrionaceae
Also listed under: 3 other names
Rfam family: tRNA
About the family: Transfer RNA (tRNA) molecules are approximately 80 nucleotides in length. Their secondary structure includes four short double-helical elements and three loops (D, anti-codon, and T loops).
Source: Rfam by way of RNAcentral
GCCGAGGUAGCUCAGUCGGUAGAGCAGGGGACUGAAAAUCCCCGUGUGGGCGGUUCGAUUCCGUCCCUCGGCA